UUCUUAACCACUCUACAGUCGUUGGUAAUUAUAGCUACCGAUUCCAAAUUCACCUCAGGAGUCGAUGGUAGCUAUACUUACCAAUAGUCGGGGUUCCGUUAGGGUGACCAAUUUUAUGGAUUAACUAGUUUUAAAAGCUAGUAUAGAUUAUAAAAUUAUACUAGUAUUGUGUACUAUAAAAAUCCUUACUAGGUGGUAUUUGCAUCUCUUCCCUAUGAGUUGGUAACAUUAAAAAAACAACUGUUAAAGUCUGACGAGUGUUGGUCGAGUCUACUGUCAACUACUGUGUUUGCGAGUGAGUGUUUUAGACAAGAAAUAUGCCCAGAUGCCCAGGAUAUUGAUUACAGGGUACACCAAAUUUGGUCAACUUUCAUCAUGAGAUGCUAUAGUUCAGCUAUAGAGAGGAGACAGAGAGUAAUUACAAAAAAAAACGAAUUACCAAACUGUCAGUAGAUGUCCGACAGGAGCUUACGGACAGAAAGCGGCAGGCGCAAUUAGAUUUUGCAAUAAGGCCGCCUUUUGUCUCUAGUGUCUCGAUUUAUUUGUUUGGUACGUCAUUUUGUGCAAUCAAGUAUAUUGUAUUGUAAGACUGUCAUUUUAAAUUCUAAUAAAAAAAUAUUUUUAAGGUCCGAAUGAUAAGUGCUUGGUAAAAAAUGUAAAUAAAACAAGCAUUCAAUUAUAAAUUGGUUUUAGUUCAUAUUAAUAAACCUUAAUUUUUCUACUGGUUUUCUUUAAUUCCUGAAAUCACAUACACAAAAUGUUAAUCUUACCCCGUUAUUGGUAACUAUAGUUACCAUCGACUUAACCUCGUAACGCCGAAGCAUAAUUACGAUUUCGAAGUAAUAAACGACGGUGGUACCUUGAAAAGGACCAAAUUUUUGUAGUCGUAAAGGCCAAGCACUUCAAGUACAAAUUUUAAAGUGUUAGAGUUAUCCGAUCGGGUUCAAAUUAAGUGGAGACCUAUGUAAGGAUGAAUAGAAGACAUUUUUGAAAAAAAAUACGUUUUUUUUUUAGUUCUUCCAGAAGGACUCCCGGUUGAAGUCACUACUUUUAGUAAAAUCUGAAAAAUAUUAUUAUUAUAAAGGGUUAUGUAUUUUUUCAUUAACAUACAUACCUAUUUUUACGUCAUAAAUAUGUGUAUAUACUUACAUAUUUAAAUAUAAAAUAAGUAACGAGUUUUAGUUUUUAUGAUGUAGUUUGUGAUUAGUCCCUCUGGAAGUACAUUAGGUUUUUAUUAUUAGGAAAGAAAUUAAUUCAUGGUGUCAGUCUAGAUCAUCAUUAGAAGGAAAAAGGAAAUAAAAUGAAGACGGUAGUUUUUUUUAAUAAUAAGAUCACGUAAGUAAGUCAGUCUAUACCGGUAUGAUUUAAUCACAUAUAACAAUUUAAAAAAGUAUUUGAAAAAUAUCCGGACAUGACACCUAAAGUCCCUUGCAAAGGACUAAAAAAGUUUGCUUUCAUAUUGCUAACGAUAUCGAUACGAAAUUGAUAAAAUAACUAUGUCAUGUUGUUGAUUAUUAUAUUACCUGCGAUUUCUGAAAAUAAUGUGUAUGAAAAACUACGAAAUUCGAUUAUUGACUUGAUUUUUUUUUUACCUCGUCGCCGUGUGCGCACCAUCUUUACCAAUAAAAUGACAAAUUACGACAAGUGAUACAUAUUUCUUUUUUAUUAAAGCCACCUAUUCACGAAAUUGAAUGAACUAGUUCAUAGACAAAAUACUUUUUUUCUCAAUCGGCGCAAAGGUUUGAAUUAAAUUGACAGGCAAAGUUUUGGUACUUUUAAAAGUACCUUCGUUGAUUAUUAGAACAAACUAUUUCAAAACCUUCGGCCUUUAUGACUACAAUUAAUUGGUCCUUCUCAGAGGACCCCAGGGCUUACGAG
Molecule: long non-coding RNA, 1878 nt
Filed under: Pectinophora gossypiella (pink bollworm)
Lineage: Eukaryota; Metazoa; Arthropoda; Insecta; Lepidoptera; Gelechiidae
Description: uncharacterized LOC126366262
Source: RNAcentral